GGCCGUGGCGGCAUGCUAUACAUGCAAGUCGAGCGGAGUUGAUAAGAAGCUUGCUUCCUUGAUGGUUAGCGGCGGACGGGUGAGUAACACGUAGGCAACCUGCCCUCAAGCUUGGGACAACUACCGGAAACGGUAGCUAAUACCGAAUACUUGCUUUCUUCGCCUGAAGGAAGCUGGAAAGACGGAGCAAUCUGUCACUUGAGGAUGGGCCUGCGGCGCAUUAGCUAGUUGGUGAGGUAACGGCUCACCAAGGCGACGAUGCGUAGCCGACCUGAGAGGGUGAUCGGCCACACUGGGACUGAGACACGGCCCAGACUCCUACGGGAGGCAGCAGUAGGGAAUCUUCCGCAAUGGGCGAAAGCCUGACGGAGCAAUGCCGCGUGAGUGAUGAAGGUUUUCGGAUCGUAAAGCUCUGUUGCCAGGGAAGAACGUCCUUGAGAGUAACUGCUCAAGGAGUGACGGUACCUGAGAAGAAAGCCCCGGCUAACUACGUGCCAGCAGCCGCGGUAAUACGUAGGGGGCAAGCGUUGUCCGGAAUUAUUGGGCGUAAAGCGCGCGCAGGCGGUCAUUUAAGUCUGGUGUUUAAUCCCGGGGCUCAACCCCGGAUCGCACUGGAAACUGGAUGACUUGAGUGCAGAAGAGGAGAGUGGAAUUCCACGUGUAGCGGUGAAAUGCGUAGAGAUGUGGAGGAACACCAGUGGCGAAGGCGACUCUCUGGGCUGUAACUGACGCUGAGGCGCGAAAGCGUGGGGAGCAAACAGGAUUAGAACCCGCCGGGGAUAAAUAUCACCAA
RNAcentral lists this ribosomal RNA (793 nucleotides) under Paenibacillus illinoisensis. RNAcentral describes it as "bacterial SSU rRNA". It matches the Rfam family "Bacterial small subunit ribosomal RNA", at positions 31 to 792 of the family's 1533-position model. Lineage: Bacteria; Bacillati; Bacillota; Bacilli; Caryophanales; Paenibacillaceae. The record is from RNAcentral.